AUUGAACGCUGGCGGCAUGAUUUACACAUGCAAGUCGAACGGUAACAGGCCGCAAUUUGCUGACGAGUGGCGAACGGGUGAGUAAUGCAUCGGAACGUGCCCAGUCGUGGGGGAUAACUACUCGAAAGAGUAGCUAAUACCGCAUACGAUCUAUGGUUGAAAGCGGGGGACCGUAAGGCCUCGCGCGAUUGGAGCGGCCGAUGUCAGAUUAGGUAGUUGGUGGGGUAAAGGCUGACCAAGCCAACGAUCUGUAGCUGGCCUGAGAGGACGAGCGGCCACACUGGAACUGAGACACGGCCCAGACUCCUACGGGAGGCAGCAGUGGGGAAUUUUGGACAAUGGGCGCAAGCCUGAUCCAGCAAUGCCGCGUGCGGGAAGAAGGCCUUCGGGUUGUAAACUGCUUUUGUACGGAACGAAACGGCUCUGGUUAAUACCCGGGGCUAAUGACGGUACCGUAAGAAUAAGCACCGGCUAACUACGUG
This 482-nucleotide ribosomal RNA is filed under the name uncultured bacterium. RNAcentral's name for it is "partial 16S ribosomal RNA". It matches the Rfam family "Bacterial small subunit ribosomal RNA", at positions 30 to 507 of the family's 1533-position model. The record is from RNAcentral.